This 482-nucleotide ribosomal RNA is filed under the name uncultured bacterium. RNAcentral describes it as "partial 16S ribosomal RNA". It matches the Rfam family "Bacterial small subunit ribosomal RNA", at positions 28 to 507 of the family's 1533-position model. The record is from RNAcentral.
GACGAACGCUGGCGGCGUGCUUAACACAUGCAAGUCGAACGCUGAAGCUCAGCUUGCUGGGUGGAUGAGUGGCGAACGGGUGAGUAACACGUGAGUAACCUGCCCUCUUCUUUGGGAUAACGCCCGGAAACGGGUGCUAAUACUGGAUAUUCACUGAUUCUCGCAUGGGGGUUGGUGGAAAGGUUUUUUCUGGUGGGGGAUGGGCUCGCGGCCUAUCAGCUUGUUGGUGGGGUGAUGGCCUACCAAGGCUUUGACGGGUAGCCGGCCUGAGAGGGUGACCGGUCACAUUGCGACUGAGAUACGGCCCAGACUCCUACGGGAGGCAGCAGUGGGGAAUAUUGCACAAUGGGCGAAAGCCUGAUGCAGCGACGCCGCGUGAGGGAUGGAGGCCUUCGGGUUGUAAACCUCUUUCGCUCAUGGUCAAGCCGCAGCUUUGGGUUGUGGUGAGGGUAGUGGGUAAAGAAGCGCCGGCUAACUACGUG